GGAAAGUUGCAAAGCACUUAGAAGAGAGAGUUAAACAGGACGUGAAACCGAUGAGGUGGAAACGGACAGAGUCGGCGUAUCUAGCCUGUAUUCAACUGGAGACCCAAGCACAUUGGGUAGGCCUUUUCCAGAUUGGACAGGCGAUCCAACUGUUUGGGAGUCUACAGUGCAUUUGCAAGUGGAGUGCGCUGAGGUGGUCGGGUUAGCUGCAUGAUCUCGGGUUUGAGGCCAGCCCCUCGGGGUAUGGUACCCGGCUCGGGGGAGUGCUGUUUAGCCUGUUCAACUUGUAUGGAAAUGGUAUCGGGUCCGGCUGGUAUCCAGCUAACAACUGGUGGCGGUCGCAUGCGACACGUACUAGUGGUUGGUUGGGUCCUGGUCUGGCUCCCAUGUUUUCCAAUCCUCGGUGUAAAAACCGGUCAUCUGUCCGACCCGUCUUGAAACACGGACCAAGGAGUUUAGCGUGUGCGCGAGUCAUUGGGUGUUGGAAACCCAAAGGCGCAAUGAAAGUGAAGGUCUCUCUUGUGGAGCUGAUGUGUGACCCGGGUCACCGAGGUGGCCCGGAGCAACAUGGUCCCGUCCUGAUCGCUUGCGAUGGGGCGGAGACAGAGCGUACGCGCUGAGACCCGAAAGAUGGUGAACUAUUCCUGAGCAGGACGAAGCCAGAGGAAACUCUGGUGGAAGUCCGAAGCGAUUCUGACGUGCAAAUCGAUCGUCUGACUUGGGUAUAGGGGCGAAAGACUAAUCGAACCAUC
This 752-nucleotide ribosomal RNA is filed under the name Rotylenchulus reniformis. RNAcentral describes it as "partial large subunit ribosomal RNA". It matches the Rfam family "Eukaryotic large subunit ribosomal RNA", at positions 358 to 944 of the family's 3401-position model. Lineage: Eukaryota; Metazoa; Nematoda; Chromadorea; Rhabditida; Hoplolaimidae. The record is from RNAcentral.